UUCCAUUUCUUCUUCUUCUUCUUUUUCUUUCUUCAACGUACACUCCAUUUCCCCUUUCUCUUCUCAAACCCUAAUUCUCUCUUUAAUUAAUUCAUUAAUUCCCCUCUCCUUUCUCUCUCUCUCUCUCUCUCUCACUUCUUCCUUCCUCUUCCAUUAAUGGCCGAUUCUCCUCCUCCUCCUCCUCCUCCUCAUCCUCUUUUCUCCACUGCCGAUUCCUCCUCUACUUCCCCCUCCGACGCUCUUUUUCUUCUUCCCUCCCGAUUCCGAUUCCACCAUCCUCACCGAAUUCGGUUGGAAUUUCCACUCUCUUCAACCUCAACCUUCUCGAUUCCCUCACUCUCACCGGAUCCACUCCGAUUUCCCUCCAACCUCCACUACCACUACUACUACUACUACUACAACUACUACUCCACUCAUCGAAGACUCCGCUGGAUUAUCAGACGCUCCUCUUCCUCUCCCUUCUAAUCCUUCUCUCUCUUCCAGUUCCAGCGGUGAGCCCCUGGACAAACCGCCUGAGAUCAUUACUCCAGAGAGAUGGGAGUGAUCAUAGUGCAUCCGGUUGAACUUCCCCCAUUCUGUAAAUUUGUGGAGGUAGUUUUGUAAAUUGGAUUGAAGCAGGGGGCUAUUCAAUGUGAAUGCAUUAAAAUAUAGGGACUGUUUUGCAGUUUUUGGUAACUUGUCUUUCCAAUCGCCGUUAUUGCGGCGGGAAUGCCCAUUUUCCUUUCGUUAAAUAAUUAUUAGUUUUUAUUUUUUUUUUUUGUGGUGAAUCAAAAUUAACGAUAAGAAUAAUAAUGCUUCUUGAUUACAUUUAAAAUUUGAAUGGUUGGCGUUACUUGUUCGAUGUGCUUCAUCAAAUGGAAUGUUACGUAUUCUUUUUCUUUAAAAAAAAAAAACCAAUUUUGUUUUUUAAAUUUUUAUUACUGCAUGUACUUACCAUUGAUCAUGAUGUGAUUUUACUUGAGAAAAUAAAAAUUAAUAAAGAUUUUUAUUUUAUUUUU
Cucumis sativus (cucumber) is the source of this 998-nucleotide long non-coding RNA. RefSeq lists it as uncharacterized. The transcript has 2 exons. The record is from RefSeq and is a predicted model, not a curated record. Lineage: Eukaryota; Viridiplantae; Streptophyta; Magnoliopsida; Cucurbitales; Cucurbitaceae.